GGGUUUCAGAGCCGGGCAGGUUUAAGGUCGAAUGCCCCAGCUUGCCCUCCAUCUGGAGGAGCCGCGGCUCUCUCCAGCUCUCUGUGAGGACUGCAGCCUCAAAGAAGUUACCAGGUUCCUGAGCCUCUGUCACCUGGGCCAGACUGCUGUGAGCAGAGGGGGUGGGGACACAAGCAUCAUGGCUGCCUGGUAUCAACCAACCUCCUUCUCAGCCCCACUCCAUCACGGCCACUGUGGGUGAACCGCUAGCUCCCGUGUUUGUGUGCUUGCUCUCUUAGGCACAGGUGAUGAGCUGGGAGGCGGUUACUGUUUGCCACCUGCUGUGAUGGAUGCUGGAAUCAACGGUAGUGUUCCUAAAACCACACUUGGAUGCUUACACUUGUACCAUUCUGCAGUUCUUUGCCAAGCCCCUUCACUAGUUCUCUUUUUACCAGGACAUGAAGGCUGGACUCCCAGCUAAUGCUCCACCCACUGCAGAUGGGCUGGUCCCAUUGCUGCUCCGAACCCCCUCUGCAUGUUUGCUAGGUUCUGUGUUUUUCCCUCCUGGGUGUCUGACAGGAGCCUUGUGAGUAGCUUCCAUGGUGGCUGGGUGAAAUCUCCCAGGGGCCCUGCCUGCCUCAUCAGAACCAACUGUGUGACUCCUCUGGGGCUGCAGCUGGAGUGCUGGGGCGCAUGUGCAGUCAUUGUGGGCAAGCGCAGUCUUGGAUGGCAAGGGCUGAGCCAGGACAGGGGCAAGGGCUCUUGCUGAGGGCCUGGUUCCUGCUCCUCUCCUGCUGUCUGUUACUGAUCUGUGCCCUGGUACACCCUUCCACCUGCAAGCAAUUCCACUGCCCUGGGCAGCUGAGUACAUACCCUGGGAGAUGUCAACCCCUGGGCCCAUCUUAACUCUGUCUAUGCCCUAAGUGUCAUGUGGGGUUUAUUCUACUUUCUGAAAACUGUGGGCUUUCACCACCCCAGCCUGCUUCUGUCCAGCUGGGGGCCCAUGAGUAAGAAUGUGUGGGAUUUUCUUGACUCCUCUCCUGUCUCAGCAUUGCCUCUGAGGAGUGGGGGUGGAGUCAGGGACUCUGCCACACUGCCCAUCCCACCCAAGUUCUCUUUCUGUUGUUGUCACAAGCAGUGUAAGGUUGAUUUCCUUUUUUUCUGUGAUCACACCUGGUAUUUUUUUUUUUAACCUUUCUUCUUAACUCUAUUCAUUUUGCUUGACUUUGAGUGGAAAGAUAACAUGUUCCCACUUUACCUUCUUCUGAACUUGGAAUAGCCAUGAUUCCAUAUUUUUAUCCAUUAUGAAAUGAUCAUGAUAAUUCUAGUUACCAUCCAUCACCAUAGAGCUAUUACAAUAUUAUUGACUAUUUUCCCUAUGCUAUACAUUAUAUCCCUGUGAGUUAUUUAUUUUAUAACUGUAAGUUUGUACUUCUUUCCACCUAUUUCACUCAUUCCCCCAACACCGACCCCUCUGGUCACCACCAGUUUGUUCUCUGAAUCUCUCUUUAAUUUUUUAGAUUUACAAAUCAGUGAAAUAAUACCAUUUUUGUUUUUCUCUGGCUCAUUUUAUGUAGCACAAUACCCUCUGAGUCCAACUAUGUUGUCACAGAUGGCAAGAUUUCAUUCUUUUUUAUGGUUGAGUGACAGUCCAUUCUAUUAUACAUAUACCACAUCUUUUUCUCAUUGAUCUAUCAGUGGACACUUAGGUUGCUUCCAUGUCACGGCUUUUGCAAAUAUGCUGCAGUGAAUGUGGUGGUGUGUAUGUCUUUUUGAAUUAGUGUUUUCAUUUUUUGGGGAUCAAUAUGUAGAAAAGUGGAAUUGUUGGAUCGUACGGUACUUAUAUUCUUAAUUUUUUGAAGAAACUUCGUACUGUUUUCUAUAGUGGCUGCACUAAUUUACAUUCCUAUCAACAGUAUAGGAAGGUUUCCUCUCCUCAACAUCCUUGCUAACACUUUUUUUUUUUUUUGAGGUGGAGUUGAUUUAUAUUGUUACUAGUUUCAGGUAUACAACAGUGAUUCACAAUUUUUGUAGAUUCUACUCCAUUUAAAGGUAGAAAAUAUUGGCUAUAUUCCCUCUGCUGUACAAUAUAUCCUUGUAGAUUAUUUAUUUCCUACAUAGUUAAUUGUACUUCUUAAUCUCCUGUCUCUAUUUUGUCCUUCCACCCUCCUCUCUCCCCACUGGUCCUCUAAUUUGUUUUCUGUAUCUGUGAGUUUCUGUUUUGUUGUAUUCAUUUGUUUGUUUUAUUUUUUAGAUGCCACAUAUAGUCAAAACAUGCAGUAUUUGUCUUUUUCUGUCUAACUUACUUCACCAAGGUUAAUAUCCAGAUCCAUUCAUGUUGUUGCAAAUGGCAAAAUUUCAUUUUUUAUGGCUGAGUAGUAUUCCAUUGUAUGUAUAUGUGUGUGUAUAUAAUGUAUGUAUGUUCUUCCUCUGUUCAUCUGGACACUUAGGUUGCUUUCAUAACUUGGCUAUUGUAAAUAGUUCUGCUAUGAACAGUGGGAUGCUUACAUCUUUUGGACUUAGUAUUUUCAUUUUCUGUGGAUAUGUACCCAGGAGUAGAAUGCUGGAUCAUAUAGUAGUUCUAUUUUCAGUUUUGUUGAGGAACCUCUAUCUUGUUUUCAGUAGUGGCUGUACCAGUUUACAUUCCCACCAAUAGUAUGUGAGGGUUCCUUUUUCUUUUUUUAUUUUUGUUUUGGCUUUGCCUUUGGCUUGCAGAAGUUCCUGGGCCAGGGAUCAAACCCAUACUACAGCGGUGAUCUGAGUCACAGCGGUGACAAUGCUGGAUCCUUAACCUGCUGUGCUACCAGGAAACUCUGUGGGUUUGCUUUUCUCCACAUCCUCAGCAACUUUCUGAUAGGCGUGAAGUGAUACCUCACUGUGGUUUUGAUUUUCAGCUCUCUGAUGAUUCGUGAUGUUGAGUAUCUUUUCCUGUGCCUUUUGGCCAAGAAAAAUGGCUAUUCAGGUCUUACUGCCCUAUUUUUUUUAAACUUUUUUUUGGCCAAACCCAUGGCAUAUGGAAGUCCUUGGGCCAUGGAUUGAAUCUGAGCUGCAGCUGUGACCUGUGCCUCAGCUGCAGCAAUGCCAGAUCCUUAACCCACUGUACCAGGCCAAGGAUUGAACCCACACCUCUGCAGCAACCCAAGAUGCUACAGUUGGAUCCUUAACCUACUGUGCCACAGUGGAAACUCUUUAUUGACCUUUUUUUUGUGUGUGUGUGUUUUUGCCAUUUCUUGGGCUGCUCCCAUGGCAUGUGGUGUUUCCCAGGCUGGGAGUUGAACCGGACCUAUAGCCACCGGCCUACACCAGAGCCACAGCAACGCAGGAUCCAAGCUGCGUCUGCAACCUACACCACAGCUCAUGGCAACGCCAGAUCCUUAACCCACUGAGCAAGGCCAGGGAUCGAACCUGCAAUCUCAUGGUUCCUAGUCGGAUUCGUUAACCACUGAGCCACGACGGGAACUCCUUUAUGGCCCACUUUUAAUCAGGUUUUUUUUUUUUUUUAUAGAGUUGUAUGGACUAUUUAUAUAUAUUUUGGGUGUUAAUCCCCUUAAUCAGUCAUUAUCAUUUCCAAAUACGUUCUCCCAUUCAGUAGGUUGUCUUUUUAAUUUGUCAGUGGUUUUCUUUGCUAUGCAAAAGAUUUUAAGUUUAGUUAGGUUCCAUUUAUUUAUUUUUUACUUUUGUUUUCUUUGUCUUAGGAGAUAGAUCCCCCCCAAAAAUACAAUGAUUUAUGUCAAGGAGUGUUCUGCCUAAGUUUUCUUCUAGGAGGUUUCUGGUUUUACAUGUAGGUCUGUAAUCAAUUUUGAGUUUAUAUUUGUUAUGUCAUGUGAGAAAACGUUCUAAUUUUAUUCUUUUACAUGUAGUUGUCCAGUUUUUUCUGCACCACCUGUAGAAAAGACUGCCUUUCUUUGUUGUGUAUUUUUGCCUCUUUUGUCAUAGAUUAAUUGACUCUAAGUGUAUGGGUUUAUUUCUGGGCUCUCUGUUCUGUACCACUGAUUUAUAUGUCUAUUUUAGUGCCAGUUGCAUACUCUUUGGAUUACCAUAGCUGUGUAGUAUAGUCUGAAGUCAGGGAGUGUGAUAGCUCCAGUUCUUAAGAUUUUUUUUGGCUAUUCAAGGUCUUUUGUGUUUCCAUGCAAAAGUUAAAAUUAUUUUUUCUAGUUCUAUAAAAAAUGCCAUUGGUAUUUUGGUAUUGAUUGUAUGGACCCUGUGGAUUGCCUUGGGCUGUAUGGUCAUUUUAACAAUAUUAAUUAUUUUUUUGGAGGGGGGGCUGCACUCGUGGCAUAUGGAAGUUCCCAGUCUAGGGUUUGAAUCAGAGCUGCAGCUGCUGGCCUAUGUCAUAGCCACAGCAACAUGGGAUCCAUGCUGCAUCUGUGACCUACACUGCAGCUCAUGGCAACACUAGUUCCUUGACACACUGAGCGAGUCCAGGGAUCGAACCCACAGCCUCAUGGAUAUAGUCAGAAUCCUUUCUGCCGAGCCACAAAAAGAACUCCCAACAAUAUUAAUUCUUUUAAUCUGUGAACAUGGUCUGUAUUUCCAUCUCUUUGUGUCAUCUUCAGUUUCUUUCAUCAGUGUCUUAGAGUUUUCUGAGUAUCAAUCUUUUACCUCCUUAUUUUUAUUUCUAGAUAUUUUAUUCUUUUUGAUGUAAUUAUAAAUGGAAUUAUGUACUUAAUUUCUCUUUCUAAUUGUCUGUUGUUAGUGUAUAGAAGUGCAAUGAAUUUCUGUGUAUUAAUUUUGUAUCCUGGAACUUUACCAAAUUCAUUGAGCUUUAGUAAUUUUUAGUAGCAUCUAUAGGAUUUUUUGUGUAUAGUAUUAUGCCAUCUGCAAACAGUGACAGUUUUACUUCUUCCUUUCCAAUUUGGACUCCUUUUAUUUAUUUUUUUCCUAUCCGAUUGCUGUGACUAGGACUUCUAAUACUGUGUUAAAUAAAAGUGGUGACAGUGGGCAUACUUGUCCUAUUCCUGGUCUUAGAGGAAAUGCUUUCAACUUUCCACCUUUUUGAGGAUUAUGUUAACUAUGGGCUUAUCCUUUAUGUUGUUGAAGCUUUUAUUAUGUUGAGGUAUGAUCCCUCUAUACCAACUUUGUGGAGAGUUUUUAUCAUAGAUGAAUGUUGAAUUUUGUCAAAAGCUUUUUCUGCAUCUCUUUAGAUGAUCAUGACAUUUAUUCUUCAAUUUGUUAAUGUGGUAUAUUGAGUUAAUACCACAUUAAUUUUGUGGUUAUUGAAUCAUCCUUUCAUCUCUGGGAUAAAUCACACUUGAUCAUGGUAUAUGAUCCUUUUAAUGUAUUGUUGGAUUUGGUUUGCUGAUAUUUGAAGAUUUUUGUGUCUGUGUUCAUCAGUGAUAUUGGCCUAUAAGUAAUUUUCUUUUUUUUUUUUUUUGGUGAUAUCUUUGUCUGGUUUUGAUAUCAGGGUGAUGCUGGUCUCAUAGGAUGAGUUUGGGAGUAUUUCUCUUCUGCUGCAAUUUUUUGGAAUAUUUUGAGAAAGAUAGGUGUUAACUCUUCUCUAAAUGUUUGGUAGAAUUCAACUGUGAUGCCAUCUGGUUCUGGACUCUUGUUUGUUGAGAAUUUUCUAAAUUAGUGAUUCAAUUUCAUUACUGGUAAUUGGUCUGUUCUUUAUUCCUGGUUCAGUCUUGGGACAUGAUACAUUUCUAGGAAUUUGUCCAUUUUGUUUUGUCAAUUUUAUUGGCAUAUAGUUGUUCAUAUUAGUCUCUUGUGAUGCUUUGUAUUUUUGUGCUUUGGGUUGUAACCUGUCCUUUUUCAUUUAUGAUUUUAUUGGUUUGGGCUUGCUCUUUUUUAUUUUUUUGAUGAACUGGAUAGAGGUUUAUCAAUUUUUCUUAUUUUUUCAAAGAACCACCUUUUAGUUUCAUUGAUCUUUUCUAUUGCAUUUUUACUCAGUUUCUUUUACUUCUGCUCUGAUCUUUAUGAUUUUUUUCACUAACUUUGAAUUUCAUUUAAUCUUUUUCUAGUUCCUGUAGGUAUAAGGUUAGAUUGUUUGAAAAUUUUCUUGUUUCCUGAGGUAGGCUUGAAUCACUAUGAACUUUCCGCUUAGAACUGCUUUUGCUAUAAUUUGGGAAUCACUUUGUUUUUGUUUUCAUUUGUCUCCAGGUAUUUUUUAUUUCUUCCUUGAUCCAUUGUUUAGUAGCGUAUUGUUCAGCCUCUAUGCGCUUGUGUUUUGCAGUUUUUUUUUAAUAGUUGAUUUCUAAUCUCGUAGUGUUGUGGUGGGAAAAGAUGCUUGAUAUAACUUCACUUUUCUUAAAUUUACCAAAGCUUGUUUUUUGGCCCAGCGUGUGGUCUAUCCUGGAGAAUGUUCCAUGUGCACUUGAAAAGAAUGUGUAUUCUGCUGCUUUUGGAUUGAGUAUUUUCUAUAUAUGUUAGGUCAGUCUGGUUUAAUGUGUUACUUGAGGUCACUGUUUCCUUUUAUUUUUUAAUUUUUUGGUUUUGUCGAUUUGUCCAUUAAUGUAAGUGGGGUGUUAAAGUCUCUUAGCAUUACUGUGUUACUGUCAAUUUCUUCCUUGAUGUUUGUUAAUAUUUCCCUUAUGUAUUUAGGUAAUACUCUGUUGGGUGCAUAUAUAUUUAUAGCUCUUCUUGGAUUGAUCCUUUGAUCAUUAUGUAAUGCCUUUAUCUCUCUUAAUAGUCAUUGUUUUAAAAUCUAUUUUAUCUGAUAGCAGUAUUGCUACCCCAGCUUUAUUUUGAUUUCCAUUUGCAUGGAAUAUUUUUUCCAGCCCCUCACUUUCAGUCUGUGUGUGUUUUGAGAUCUGAAGUGAGUCUCUUAUGGGCAACAUAUUAAUAUGGAUCUUGGUUUUAUAUUGCUACUAUGUCUUUUGAUUUUAGCAUUGAGUCCAUUUACAUUUAUUUAUUUAUUUAAAAAACUUUUUUUUGUUAUAGUUGAUUUACAGUGCUCUGUCAAUUUCUGCUGUACAACAAAGUAACCCAGUCAUACAUACAUGUAUUCUUUUUCUCAAAUUACCCUGCAUCAUGUUUUAUCAUAAGUGGCUAGAUAUAGUUCCCUGUGCUCUACAGCAGGAUCUCAUUGCUUAUCCACUCCAAAUGCAAUAGUUUGCAUCUACUGGGAGUUUAGGGUUAGUAAUCCAUUUACAUUUAAAGUAAUUAUUGAUAGGUAUGUGCUUAUUACCAUUUUGCUAAUUGUUUUGGACUUGUUUUUAUAGUUUUUUUUGUUCUUUUUUCUCUUCCCUUGUAAUUUGAUGACUAUCUUCAGUGUUAUAUUUGGAUUCCUUUUUCUUUUUUUGUGUGUGUAUCUAUUAAAGAUGUUCAGUUUGUGGCUACCAUUUUUGUUUUGUGGCUACCAUAUAUAUACACACAUGCAUAUAUAUAGUAGCCUAUAUAAAUAUGUGAUUAUUUUAAGUUGCUGAUUGCCUAAUUUUAAACACAUAUUUCAACAACACUAUUUUUUUACUCCCCUUCCCUCAUGAUUGCUCUUUUCAACAUCAUAUUUUACAUGUUUGUUUUGUGUGUCCCUUAAUUGCUUAUUGUGGACAUAGAUGUUUUUACUACUUUUGUUUUUUAACCUUCCUACUAGCUUUGUCAGUAGUUGUUUAUUAUCUUUAAUGUAUAUUUGCCUUUACUGAUGAGCUUUUGCCUUUUGUAAUUUUCCUGUUUCUAGUUGUGGCUUUUUUUGCUUAGAGAAGUCCUUUAACAUUUCCUGUAGAAUUGGUUUGGUGGUGCUGAACUCUUAGUUUUUGCUUACCUGUAAGACUUUUGACCUCUGAACAAAUCUGAAUAAAAGCCUUGCUGGAUAGAGUGUAGUUGGUUGUAGGUUUUCCUCUUUCACCACUCUAAUUAUAUCAUUUUACCCUCCUCUGGCCUGUAGAGUUUCUGCUGAAAGUCAACUGAUGGCCUUAUAGCAGUCCCCUAGUAUGCUACUUGUUGAUUUUCCCUUGCUGCUUUUGCUAUUCUCUCAUUAUCUUUAGUUUUUUCCAUUUUAAUUACAAUGUGUCUUGGUGUGGGCCUCUGUGGGCUGAUCCUGUUUUGGACUCUAUGUGCUUCCUGGACUUGGAUGUCUGUUUCCUUUUCCAGAUUAGGGAAAUUUUCAGCUAUUACGUCUUCAGGUAUGUCCUCUGCCCCUUUCGCUCUCUCUUCUGUUGGGAUCCCUAUCAUGUGAGUAUUAGUAUGCUGAUGUUAUAUCAGAGAUCUCAUAAACUUCCUCAUUUUUUUUUUUUCUUUAUUGGCUGCCCCUGGGGCAUAUGCAGCUUCAGAAAUGCCAGAUCCUUAACCCAGUGCUCUGGACUGGGGAUCGAACUGGCACCUCCACAGAGACAAGCUGGAUCAUUAACCCACUGCACCACAGUGGGGACUCCCUCAUUUCUUUUUAUUUUUCCUUUUAUGAAAUUCUUAUAUAGGAGUUCCCGUCAUGGCUCAGUGGUUAACAAUCCAACUAGGAACGAUGAGGUUGUGGGUUUGGUCCCUGACCUUGCUCAGUGGGUUAAGGAUCUGGCAUUGCCGUGAGCUCUGGUGUAGGUCACAGACGCAGCUCAGAUCUGGAAUUGCUAUGGCUGUUGUGUGGGCCAGCGGCUACAGCUCCGAUUUGACCCCUAGCCUGGGAAUCUCCAUAUGCUGCAGGAGUGGCCUUAGAAAAGGCAAAAAGACAAAAAAAAAAAAAAAAAAAAA
Molecule: long non-coding RNA, 8598 nt
Filed under: Sus scrofa (pig)
Lineage: Eukaryota; Metazoa; Chordata; Mammalia; Artiodactyla; Suidae
Description: lncRNA (ENSSSCG00015056661.1)
Source: RNAcentral